Camelus dromedarius (Arabian camel) is the source of this 1985-nucleotide long non-coding RNA. NCBI's taxonomy places the organism in Eukaryota, Metazoa, Chordata, Mammalia, Artiodactyla, Camelidae. The record is from Ensembl.
CCGCGCAGUAGGUGUGGGUGGGAGGCGAUACUCCUGCUCCUGGGAGGUCUGGCAGGAGCAGGUGCUGGUGGCCAGAGGAGGGGCCUUCCGGGAGGAGCGGUGGCAAGGAGGGGAGGCCGGGGCCGGAGGAGGAGGGCUCCAUGCUCUGUGGGAGGGUGUGCGGCCGGUCUCUCAGACCUCAGGCCCCAUGUAGGUGGCACUGUGACACUGAGCCAAUAGCGAAGAGGAAGGAGAGCGGCCUACAGGCUGGUGUGUGCCUCUGCAUCGCGUCCUGGUCGCCAGCCCCAGGCCCCUAACGACCUCUCACUCUCUAGCAGGGUGGAGUCCAUGGAAGUCGACCUCACCUCCUCCCCAAGGAGAAAACCCGAGGCCACGGCCGGCCCCGCAAGGAUCUCCGUGAUCAGUCCACCUCGAGACGGACGCAUGGGCAGCGUGGCCCACCACCCUCAGCACCUCAGCCUGACGCCACGUCGCUCCAGCGAACCCCAGGCUCCCAGGUGGGUGAAGUGGGAGCGUGAGGGGCCACCCGCCUCGCCGGCUACUUCGUGUGUUUGAAGCUAGAAUGUAAUUUAGUGGGAGCCCUGUUGCUAAAACCCAGGAGCACUGCGUGUGGCUGCACAGCCGGUCACCCCAAGACUGGCCCGGGGGUGGUGAGUUCCCUGUGGGCCCUGCAUCCGGGGGGCCUGGCUAUGUCCCCACCGCUCUGUUUACAGAAGCAAGUGGGGUGCGUCUCCCAGCCCGAGCGGCGUGCCGGCACCUCCCUCGGCCAAGCUUGUCCUGGAUGUGCGGCCGCCUUCUCUGCUGCACAUCCAAGCGCUCGCUGGCUGCCCCUCAGGGCUCGUUCUUAAGAUGGAAGCUCCGGUGGCCUCUCUAAAAGGCAGACCCUCCCCUCUCACCCCUCCUCACCCAAGGUCCCACAGCGACAAGUCCACAUUUUGCCGUCUGGCACAGUCCAGCCCUGGCCUCCAGAUUGCAUGCCCAUUGCCCCUCGGUUCACGAUGCCGUCCCUACUCACCUACCUGACCACAGGCUGCCCUCCACCCCACCCCACACCACAGGGAGCUGGGCCCUCCACCCAGUGCCCUGUGACCCCCAGGGAGCCAGGCCCGCCCACCUCCAGCUCGGUGCCCUCUUGUUUGUAACCGGACUUUUUCGGCGGGGAUAGCCAGAGGGGUCCAGCGGGGGGGGGGGGGGGGGGGUUCCGACGACUGGCAGGACUCUGCAGCAUGGUAAAGGGCAGCCUUUCUUGGGGGCCCUGGCACGGUCACCUCAGCCCAGAAAGGGCCUCCUGUGAGGUGGCCUGCUAGUGCGCUACAUGUGCAGCUGCUCCCGCAGGCCCAGCAGCCCCAAGCUCGCCACGUGGCUGGCCUCUCGUUCUCGGAACAUGUCUUGAGUCUGCACGUGGCCUUGAAUGCUAGAAAGCCAUUGAGGCUUAGUUACUGUGUUACUGAAUUCAUCACAGGAUCCCAGCGCUGCGGCUCCCCUGUGAGGGGUGGACCGGGAGCCCAGCGCCCCCAGCGGCCAGCGGAGCGGGGAGAGGGGUGGCACCCAGGCCCCCCAUCAGCAUCGCGGGCCUGCUGCAGAGGCAGCAUUUAAGCAAGUGCUGCUUUGAAAAGUAAACGCUUUUCCCUGAAAUGCACGUGUGAGAAUGUCUGUGUGGUGAGAGCAGACACGAGACUGGAACUUGGAACGUUCUUAAGAAUCGUGUUCUGAGCGUCUCGGUGGUUUGGAACCGGUGGUGUCCGCAGUGAAUCCCACGUGGGUCAUGCUCUGGACACCUCCUGCAGGGUCUGCCGGCCUCAGGGUUCAGGUGCGGGAGUGAGAGGCCCCGCGUGCCCUCAGUCACGUCACAGCGCUGGCAAGUCCCUCGCGCAGUGGAUAAACAUCUCGGCCUUCAGAUGCCAGCGCUGGGGUGGGACGGGCACCACCUGUGGCCUCCCUGCUGGCUGCGUCUGGUCGCGACUUGGCUCCUGUUCAGCAGCAGU